UACCUUGUUACGACUUCGCGCCAAUCAUCGGCCCUACCUUAGACGGUUGCUUCCUUGCGGUUAGCGCGCCGGUUUCGGGUAAGACCAACUUUCGUCUCGUGACGGGCGGUGUGUGCAAGGCCCGGGAACGUAUUCAACGCCGUAUUGCUGACCGGCGUUUACUAGCGAUUCCGACUUCAUGGAGUCGAGUUGCAGACUCCAAUCCGAACUGAGACCGGCUUUCUGAGAUUAGCAUCGCCUCGCGGCAUAGCAACCCUUUGUACCGGCCAUUGUAGCAUGUGUGCAGCCCAGGGCGUAAGGGGCAUGAUGACUUGACGUCACCCCCACCUUCCUCCUCUUUACAGAGGCAGUUUGUUCCGAGUUCCCGACAUUACUCGCUGGCAACAGAACAUGAGGGUUGCGCUCGUUGCGGGACUUAACCCAACAUUUCACAACACGAGCUGACGACAGCCAUGCACCACCUGUGCAACACCUUCGAAAGCGAGUGGCUUUCACCACCUUGCAGUUGCAUGUCAAGCCCUGGUAAGGUUCUUCGCGUUGCAUCAAAUUAAGCCACAUGCUCCACCGCUUGUGCGGGCCCCCGCCAAUUCCUUUGAGUUUCAACCUUGCGGCCGUAGUCCCCAGGCGGUUCACUUAAUGCGUUAGCUGCGGCACCGAGGCUUACGCCCCAACACCUAGUGAACAUCGUUUAUGGCUAAGACUACCAGGGUAUCUAAUCCUGUUUGCUACCUUAGCUUUCGUGCCUGAGCGUCAUUAUUCGUCCAGAAGAGUGCUUUCCCCUUUGGUGUUCGACACAUCUCAACGCAUUUCACCGCUGCACGUGUUCUUUCCCUC
Molecule: ribosomal RNA, 834 nt
Filed under: uncultured bacterium
Lineage: Bacteria
Description: partial 16S ribosomal RNA
Source: RNAcentral